Molecule: small nucleolar RNA, 158 nt
Filed under: Nelumbo nucifera (sacred lotus)
Lineage: Eukaryota; Viridiplantae; Streptophyta; Magnoliopsida; Proteales; Nelumbonaceae
Description: Small nucleolar RNA snoR145
Rfam family: Small nucleolar RNA snoR145
Source: Rfam by way of RNAcentral
AAGCGAAGGUCCCAGCGGAGGGGUAUGAGACUCAAAAUGUGAGACCUCUCUAACACCAUAUGAUACCUUCGUAGACUGUGAUGCUCGGCCGAUUUGUAGGAUGCCCAAACAGUGCUAAUUUGAUUUUUGGAGCGUCUGGAAACCUUGGCUACAUCUGA